AACGAGAAAGUGGGAGCAAUCCCAUGAGUAAAGUGGCGAACGGGUGAGUAACAGGUGGGUAACGUGCCCCAAAGUGGGGGAUAACUCCGAGAAAUCGGAGCUAAUACCGCAUGUGGCCGUUUGGACUCAGGUUUGAACGGUUAAAGGUGCAGAUCGCUUUGGGAUCGGCCCGCCCCUGAUUAGGUAGUUGGUGAGGUAACGGCUCACCAAGCCUGCGAUCAGUAGCUGGUCUGAGAGGAUGGUCAGCCACACUGGGACUGAGAUACGGCCCAGACUCCUACGGGGGGCAGCAGUCUAGAGGCUUCGGCAAUGGGGGCAACCCUGACCGAGCGACGCCGCGUGUGGGAUCGAAGGCGUUUUCGUUGUAAACCACUGUUCUAGGGGAAGAAUACCGCGAUGGCGAAUCGCGGGGCGACGGUACCCUAGAAGAAAGCCCCGGCUAACUCCGUGCCAGCAGCCGCGGUAAUACGGAGGGGGCAAGCGUUGUUCGGAUUUACUGGGCGUAAAGGGAGUGUAGGCGGCCGAUCAAGUCCGAUGUGAAAGCCUUACCGCUUACCGGAAGGAGGUCAUCGGAAACUGAUUGGCUAGAGUAAGGUAGAGGCGAGCGGAAUUCCUGGUGUAGCGGUGGAAUGUGUAGAUAUCACGAAGAACAUCGGUGGCGAAAGCGGCUCGCUGGGCCUUUACUGACGCUGA
This 693-nucleotide ribosomal RNA is filed under the name uncultured bacterium. Its description in RNAcentral is "bacterial SSU rRNA". It matches the Rfam family "Bacterial small subunit ribosomal RNA", at positions 65 to 749 of the family's 1533-position model. The record is from RNAcentral.